This is a long non-coding RNA of Oncorhynchus keta (chum salmon), 4824 nucleotides long. RefSeq lists it as uncharacterized. NCBI's taxonomy places the organism in Eukaryota, Metazoa, Chordata, Actinopteri, Salmoniformes, Salmonidae. The transcript is spliced from 6 exons. The record is from RefSeq and is a predicted model, not a curated record.
GAGAUAUGGUGUAGAUAAAGAUGAGGAGAUAUGGUGUAGAUAAAGAUGAGGAGAUAUGGUUUAGAUAAAGAUGAUGAGAUAUGGUAUAGAUAAAGAUGAGGAGAUAUGGUUUAGAUAAAGAUGAGGAGAUGUGGUGUAGAUAAAGAUAAGGAUAUAUGGUGUAGAUAAAGAUGAUGAGAUAUGGUGUAUAUAAAGAUGAGGAUAUAUGGUAUAGAUAAAGACGAGGAUAUAUGGUGUAGAUAAAGACGAGGAGAUAUGGUGUAGAUAAAGAUGAGGAGAUAUGGUUUAGAUAAAGAUGAGGAGAUAUGGUGUAGAUAAAGAUGAUGAGAUAUGGUUUAGAUUGAGAUAUGGUGUAGAUAAAGAUGAGGAGAUAUGGUGUAGAUAAAGAUGAGGAGAUAUGGUGUAGAUAAAGUUGAGAAGAUAUGGUGUAGAUAAAGAUAAGGAGAUAUGGUUUAGAUAAAAAUGAGGAGAUAUGGUUUAGAUAAAGAUGAGGAGAUAUGGUUAAAUAAAGAUGAGGAGAUAUGGUUUAGAUCGAGAUAUGGUGGAGAUAAAGAUGAGGAGAUAUGGUUUAUAUAAAGAUGAGGAGAUAUGGUGUAGAUAAAGAUGAGGAGAUAUGGUUUCGAUAAAGAUGAGGAUAUAUGGUUUAGAUAAAGAUGAGGAGAUAUGGUGUAGAUAAAGAUGAGGAGAUAUGGUUUCGAUAAAGAUGAUGAUAUAUGGUGUAGGUAAAGAUGAGGAGAUAUGGUUUAGAUAAAGAUGAGGAGAUAUGGUGUAGAUAAAGAUGAGGAUAUAUGGUUUAGCUGAAGAUAAGGAGAUAUGGUGUAGAUAAAGAUGAGGAGAUAUGGUUUAGAUGGAGAUAUGGUGUAGAUAAAGAUGAGGAGAUACGGUGUAGAUAAAGAUGAGGAGAUAUGGUUUAGAUAAAGAUGAGGAUAUAUGGUGUAGAUAAAGAUGAGGAGAUAUGUUUUAGAUGGAGAUAUGGUGUAGAUAAAGAUGAGGAGAUAUGGUGUAGAUUAAGAUGAUGAGAUAUGGUGUAGAUAAAGAUGAUGAUGUAUGGUUUAGAUGAAGACGAGGAGAUAUGGUGUAGAUAAAGAUGAGGAGAUAUGGUUUAGAUGGAGAUAUGGUGUAGAUAAAGAUGAGGAGAUAUGGUUUAGAUGGAGAUAUGGUGAAGAUAAAGAUGAGGAGAUAUGGUUUAGAUAAAGAUGAGGAGAUAUGGUUUAGAUGGAGAUAUGGUGUAGAUAAAGAUGAGGAGAUGUGGUGUAGAUAAAGAUGAGGAGAUAUGGUUUAGAUGGAGAUACGGUGUAGAUAAAGAUAAGGAUAUAUGGUUUAGAUAAAGAUGAGGAGAUAUGGUUUAGACAAAGAUGAGGAGAUAUGGUGUAGAUAAAGAUGAGGAGAUAUGGUGUAGAUAAAGAUGAGGAGAUAUGGUUUAGAUAAAAAUGAGGAGAUACAGUUUAGAUAAAGAUGAGGAGAUAUAGUUUAGAUAAAGAUGAGGAGAUAUGGUUUAGAUCGAGAUAUGGUUUAGAUAAAGAUGAGGAGAUAUGGUGUAGAUAAAGAUGAGGAGAUAUGGUAUAGAUAAAGAUGAGGACAUAUGGUUUAGAUAAAGAUGAGGUGAUAUGGUGUAGAUAAAGAUGAGGAGAUAUGGUGUAGAUAAAGUUGAGAAGAUAUGGUGUAGAUAAAGAUGAGGAGAUAUGGUUUAGAUAAAGAUGAGGAGAUAUGGUGUAGAUAAAGAUGAGGAGAUAUGGUUUAGAUGGAGAUAUGGUGUAGAUAAAGAUGAGGAGAUAUGGUUUAGAUAAAGAUGAGGAGAUGUGGUGUAGAAAAAGAUGAGGAGAUAUGGUUUAGAUGGAGAUAUGGUGUAGAUAAAGAUAAGGAUAUAUGGUUUAGAUAAAGAUGAAGAGAUAUGGUUUAGAUAAAGAUGAGGAGAUAUGGUUUAGACAAAGAUGAGGAGAUAUGGUUUAGACAAAGAUGAGGAGAUAUGGUGUAGAUAAAGAUGAGGAGAUUUGGUGUAGAUAAAGAUGAGGAGAUAUGGUGUAGAUAAAGAUGAGGAGAUAUGGUGUAGAUAAAGAUGAGGAGAUAUGGUUUAGAUAAAAAUGAGGAGAUACAGUUUAGAUAAAGAUGAGGAGAUAUAGUUUAGAUAAAGAUGAGGAGAUAUGGUUUAGAUCGAGAUAUGGUUUAGAUAAAGAUGAGGUGAUAUGGUGUAGAUAAAGAUGAGGAGAUAUGGUGUAGAUAAAGUUGAGAAGAUAUGGUGUAGAUAAAGAUGAGGAGAUAUGGUUUAGAUAAAGAUGAGGAGAUAUGGUUUAGAUAAAGAUGAGGAGAUAUGGUGUAGAUAAAGAUGAGGAGAUAUGGUGUAGAUAAAGUUGAGAAGAUAUGGUGUAGAUAAAGAUGAGGAGAUAUGGUUUAGAUAAAGAUGAGGAGAUAUGGUGUAGAUAAAGAUGAGGAGAUAUGGUUUAGAUGGAGAUAUGGUGUAGAUAAAGAUGAGGAGAUAUGGUUUAGAUGGAGAUGUGGUGUAGAAAAAGAUGAGGAGAUAUGGUUUAGAUGGAGAUAUGGUGUAGAUAAAGAUAAGGAUAUAUGGUUUAGAUAAAGAUGAGGAGAUAUGGUUUAGAUAAAGAUGAGGAGAUAUGGUUUAGACAAAGAUGAGGAGAUAUGGUGUAGAUAAAGAUGAGGAGAUUUGGUGUAGAUAAAGAUGAGGAGAUAUGGUGUAGAUAAAGAUGAGGAGAUAUGGUGUAGAUAAAGAUGAGGAGAUAUGGUUUAGAUAAAAAUGAGGAGAUACAUUUUAGAUAAAGAUGAGGAGAUAUAGUUUAGAUAAAGAUGAGGAGAUAUGGUUUAGAUCGAGAUAUGGUUUAGAUAAAGAUGAGGAGAUAUGGUGUAGAUAAAGAUGAGGAGAUAUGGUAUAGAUAAAGAUGAGGACAUAUGGUUUAGAUAAAGAUGAGGUGAUAUGGUGUAGAUAAAGAUGAGGAGAUAUGGUGUAGAUAAAGUUGAGAAGAUAUGGUGUAGAUAAAGAUGAGGAGAUAUGGUAUAGAUAAAGAUGAGGACAUAUGGUUUAGAUAAAGAUGAGGUGAUAUGGUGUAGAUAAAGAUGAGGAGAUAUGGUGUAGAUAAAGUUGAGAAGAUAUGGUGUAGAUAAAGAUGAGGAGAUAUGGUUUAGAUAAAGAUGAGGAGAUAUGGUUUAGAUAAAGAUGAGGAGAUACGGUUUAGAUAAAGAUGAGGAGAUAUGGUUAAAUAAAGAUGAGGAGAUACGGUUUAGCUGAAGAUAAGGAGAUAUGGUGUAGAUAAAGAUGAGGAGAUAUGGUGUAGAUAAAGAUGAUGAUAUAUGGUUUAGAUAAAGAUGAGGAGAUAUGGUGUAGAUAAAGAUGAGGAGAUAUGGUUUAGAUGGAGAUAUGGUGUAGAUAAAGAUGAGGAGAUAUGGUGUAGAUAAAGAUGAUGAGAUAUGGUGUAGAUAAAGAUGAUGAUAUAUGGUUUAGAUAAAGAUGAGGAGAUAUGGUGUAGAUAAAGAUGAGGAGAUAUGGUUUAGAUGGAGAUAUGGUGUAGAUAAAGAUGAGGAGAUAUGGUGUAGAUAAAGAUGAGGAGAUAUGGUUUAGAUAAAGAUGAGGAGAUAUGGUUUAGAUAAAGAUGAAGAGAUAUGGUUUAGAUAAAGAUGAGGAGAUAUGGUUUAGACAAAGAUGAGGAGAUACAUUUACAUUUACAUUUAAGUCAUUUAGCAGAAACUCUUAUCCAGAGCGACUUACAAAUUGGAGAUAUGGUGUGGAUAAAGAUGAGGAGAUUUGGUGUAGACAAAGAUGAGGAGAUAUGGUGUAGAUAAAGAUGAUGAGAUAUGGUGUAGAUAAAGAUGAGGAGAUAUGGUGUAGAUAAAGGUGAGUAGAUAUGGUAUAGAUAAAGAUGACGAUAUAUGGUUUAGAUAAAGAUGACGAUAUAUGGUUUAGAUAAAGAUGAGCAGAUAUGGUGUUGAUAAAGAUGAGGAGAUAUGGUUUAGAUAAAGAUGAGGAGAUAUGGUUUAGAUAAAGAUGAGGAGAUAUGGGAUAGAUAAAGAUGAGGAGAUAUGGUGUAGAUAAAGAUGAGGAGAUAUGGUUUAGAUGGAGAUAUGGUGUAGAUAAGAUGAGGAGAUAUGGUGUAGAUAAAGAUGAUGAGAUAUGGUGUAGAUAAAGAUGAUGAUGUAUGGUUUAGAUGAAGACGAGGAGAUAUGGUGUAGAUAAAGAUGAGGAGAUAUUGUUUAGAUGGAGAUAUGGUGAAGAUAAAGAUGAGAAGAUAUGGUUUAGAUAAAGAUGAGGAGAUAUGGUGUAGAUGAAGAUAUGGUGUAGAUAAAGAUGAGGAGAUAUGGUGUAGAUAAAGAUGAGAAGAUAUGGUGUAGAUAAAGAUGAGGAGAUAUGGUUUAGAUAAAGAAGAGGAGAUAUGGUUUAGAUAAAGAUGAGGAGAUAUGGUGUAGAUGAAGAUAUGGUGUAGAUAAAGAUGAGGAGAUAUGGUUUAGAUAAAGAUGAGGAGAUAUGGUGUAGAUAAAGAUGAGAAGAUAUGGUGUAGAUAAAGAUGAGGAGAUAUGGUUUAGAUAAAGAAGAGGAGGUACGGUUUAGAUAAAGAUGAGGAGAUAUGGUUUAGAUCGAGAUAUGGUGUAGAUAAAGAUGAGGAGAUAUGGUUUAUAUAAAGAUGAUGAUAUAUGGUUUUGAUAAAGAUGAGGAGAUAUGGUUUAGAUAAAGAUGAGGAGAUAUGGUGUAGAUAAAGAUGAGGAGAUAUGGUUUAGAUAAAGAUGAUGAUAUAUGGUUUCGAUAAAGAUGAGGAGAUAUGGUUUAGAUAAAGAUGAUGAUAUAUGGUUUCGAUAAAGAUGAGGAUAUAUGGUUUAGAUAAA